GGUUGCUUGCAAGGGCGUAUGGUGGAUGCCUUGGCAGACAGUACCGAUGAAGGACGUUUGAGGCUGCGAUAUGCCUCGGGGAGCCGCCAACAGGGCUUUGAUCCGAGGAUUUCCGAAUGGGGGAACCCACCGACCGUCAUGGGUCGGUACCGGCUUCGGCCGGGGGGUACGCAGGGAAGUGAAACAUCUCAGUACCUGCAGGAAAGGAUAUUCCGUGAGUAGUGGCGAGCGAAAGCGGAUGAUGGCCAAACCUUGCGCGUGUGAUACCCGUCGGGGGUUGCGCGCGGGGUGUUGCGGGAUCGCGUGCGCCGGCUCCGACGGGCCGGCCGGCAGUUGCAGAAAACCAUGUGUCAGGGGAACCGGGUUGAAUACCGGGCCGCAGAGGGUGAGGGCCCCGUACCUGAACGCGCAUGGUCUGCCGAUCGCGUCUCCCAAGUAGCACGGGUCCCGUGGAACCCCGUGCGAAUCCGCCCAGACCGUUGGGUAAGCCUGAAUAUUCCUGUCUGACCGAUAGCGAACGAGUACCGUGAGGGAAAGGUGAAAAGUACCCCGGGAGGGGAGUGAAACAGUCUCUGAAACCGUGCGCCUACAAUCCGUCGGAGCCCUUUUGUGGGGUGACGGCGUGCCUAUCGAAAAAUGAGUCUGCGAGUCAGUGGCACGUGGCGAGCGUAACCCGUGUGGGGUACGCGUAGCGAAGGCGAGUCUCAAAAGGCGUUUGAGUCGCGUGUCCUGGACCCGAAGCGGGAUGAUCUAGCCCUGAGCAGGUUGAAGCGCGGGUAAGACCGCGUGGAGGACCGAACCCACCUGGGUUGAAAACCGGGGGGAUGACUUGGGGCUAGGGGUGAAAGGCCAAUCAAAUUCCGUGAUAGCUGGUUCUCUCCGAAAUGCAUUUAGGUGCAGCGUCGGGGAUUACGUCCGGGGGGUAGAGCUACUGGAUGCUUGAGGGCCCGUAUCGGGUACCGACAGCAGCCAAACUCCGAAUACCCGUGACGCGUAUCCCGGCAGUGAGUCGGCGGGGGAUAAGCUCCGUCGUCGAAAGGGAGACAGCCCAGACCGUCGUCUAAGGUCCCGAAGCGUGUGCUAAGUGGGAAAGGAUGUGGAGUCGCAUAGACAGCCAGGAGGUUGGCUCAGAAGCAGCCACCCUUGAAAGAGUGCGUAACAGCUCACUGGUCUAGUGGUUCCGCGCCGACAAUGUAGCGGGGCUCAAGCACACCACCGAAGACGCGGCAGUAUUUUGUACUGGGUAGGAGAGCGUCCCAUGAGGGGCGAAGCGGCCGUGUGAACGCGCCGUGGACUUCAUGGGAGUGAGAAUGCAGACAUGAGUAGCGAGAGACGGGUGAGGAUCCCGUCCGCUGGAUGACCAAGGGUUCCGGGGCCACGUUCGUCGUCCCCGGGUGAGUCGGGUCCUAAGGCGAGGCCGACAGGCGUAGUCGAAUGGAUGAACGGGUCGAUAUUCCCGUACCGGCUUUCAGCCGCCAAAACCGAGGCUUGGAGUACUAACCUCCGGGUCCGGGCUUACUGCUCCUUCGGGGGCGGGAUGCCCUGGCCUGUUGGGACCGAUCCUUGUAGUAGGUCAGCGCAGGAGUGACGCAGAAGGGUAGCCGGCCGCGGAGGUGGUCUUCCGUGGUCAAGCACGCAGGGCGUGGGACAGGCAAAUCCGUCCCGCAUGGGUCCGAGGUGCGAUGAUGGGGGCCUUAUGGCCCGAUAUCCGGUGAUCCCGGCUGCCGAGAAAAGCUUCGGCGUCAGGCGCGUUGCCGCCCGUACCCCAAACCGACACUGGUGGUCAGGUAGAGAAUACCAAAGCGAUCGAGCGAAUCCUGGUCAAGGAACUCGGCAAAUCACUCCCGUUCCUUCGGUUUAAGGGAGACCCCCGAUGGUGAACACACUUGCUGUGGGAGCUUUUGGGGGUGGCACAGACCAGGGGGUAGCGACUGUUUACCAAAAACACAGGUGCAUGCGAAGGCGCAAGCCGCUGUAUAUGCACUGACGCCUGCCCGGUGCCGGAAGGUUAAGAGGAUCCGUCAGCCUUCGGGUGAAGCGGUGAAUUCAAGCCCCGGUAAACGGCGGUGGUAACUAUAACCAUCCUAAGGUAGCGAAAUUCCUUGUCGGGUAAGUUCCGACCUGCACGAAUGGCGUA
This 2137-nucleotide ribosomal RNA is filed under the name human gut metagenome. RNAcentral describes it as "bacterial LSU rRNA". It matches the Rfam family "Bacterial large subunit ribosomal RNA", at positions 1 to 2003 of the family's 2925-position model. The record is from RNAcentral.